UCAAUAGAUAAACUAAGCAGAAUUACCAGCGGAGGAAAACACUCAAUGGCAUAUUGUUUGGGAAUAAUUAAUCCACCACUUAAACUGACGUCAGACGCCGUUAAAAUUUUACUAAAAAAAUAAACUAUUGGUCUUCGAGUAUCCAUAGUAGUAUUAUGGGUCAUAACUUCCU
RNAcentral lists this small RNA (172 nucleotides) under Arabidopsis thaliana (thale cress). RNAcentral's name for it is "ATSL026830". The record is from RNAcentral. Lineage: Eukaryota; Viridiplantae; Streptophyta; Magnoliopsida; Brassicales; Brassicaceae.